Molecule: ribosomal RNA, 374 nt
Filed under: Nematoda sp.
Lineage: Eukaryota; Metazoa; Nematoda
Description: SSU rRNA
Rfam family: Eukaryotic small subunit ribosomal RNA
Source: RNAcentral
CUGAAUAACUACGCAGAUCGCAUGGUCUCGAACCGGCGACAUAUCCUUCAAGUGUCUGCCUUAUCAACUGUCGAUGGUAGUUUACAUGACUACCAUGGUUGUAACGGGUAACGGAGAAUUAGGGUUCGACUCCGGAGAGGGAGCCUGAGAAACGGCUACCACAUCCAAGGAAGGCAGCAGGCGCGCAAAUUACCCACUCUCAGAACGAGGAGGUAGUGACGAAAAAUAACGAGACAGUUCUCUAUGAGGUCUGUCAUUGGAAUGGGUACAAUCUAAACCCUUUAACGAGUAUCUAUUGGAGGGCAAGUCUGGUGCCAGCAGCCGCGGUAAUUCCAGCUCCAAUAGCGUAUAUUAAAGUUGUUGCGGUUAAAAAG